CUAAAUCUUCUAAAGAAAAUAUGCUGUAAGAGUGGAAAGGCUGAGCAUCUUUAUGAGGAAUGAACUCCUGAAAAACACCAGCUGUUCCUUUGUGAAAAUGUAGAUUCAGUGCUCCACAGGAGUGGUAAUUCAGGGUCUAAGUUCAAGAGAGGAACAAGUGACUUGUUUGCAGAGCACACCCCUGUGACCCAUGUAGGGGAGAGUUGGAGGGGCCUCCCCUGGAACUCCUGCAGUGCUUCCUCCCUUCUCCAAGAGGGCUGUCCUCACAGAGCACUUUUCUUUAGGAGGUCAUCAAGCCACAUGGGAGCUAAACUCACAAUUCUAUCUUAAAGUCAAGCAUUUAUGGUUCUGUAGAUUUGCUUGAAAACUAAAGCAAUUGAGUUAAUGCAGGAAAGUAAUUGUGUCAUCAAGGUCUCUGGCUGCUGCUGGUGUUGGGAGAAUCUUCCAGGAGAGAGGCUGGAUACUGAUGGUCAGGACUUCACUCGGUGGUCCCAAGGUUUCUCCAGCUGUGUAGUAUUGUAAAAAUAAAAAUCUCCACCUAUGUGUUUAAAUACCA
Long non-coding RNA from Haemorhous mexicanus (house finch), 556 nucleotides. RefSeq lists it as uncharacterized. The record is from RefSeq and is a predicted model, not a curated record. The transcript is spliced from 2 exons. Lineage: Eukaryota; Metazoa; Chordata; Aves; Passeriformes; Fringillidae.